Molecule: ribosomal RNA, 1426 nt
Filed under: Scythrophrys sawayae (Banhado frog)
Lineage: Eukaryota; Metazoa; Chordata; Amphibia; Anura; Leptodactylidae
Description: partial 16S ribosomal RNA
Rfam family: Bacterial large subunit ribosomal RNA
Source: RNAcentral
GCCAAAAAUCUAGCCCUAUUUCCCCCAAAUGAACUAAACACCUUUAAAACCCGAAUUAAAACAUUUUAGCAUCUUAGUAAAGGCGAUCAAAAAAUUAAUUAGAGCUACACUAACAGUACCGCAAGGGAAGGAUGAAAUAAAAAUGAAAUAAAUAUAAAGCACAAAACAGCAAAGAUUGGCCCUUGUACCUUUUGCAUCAUGGUUUAACUAGUCUAAUCAAGCAAAAAGAAUUAAAGUUUGACCCCCCGAAACUAAGCGAGCUACUUCAGGGCAGCUUUAUGAGCAAACCCGUCUCUGUUGCAAAAGAGUGGGAAGACCCUUAAGUAGGGGUGACAGACCUACCGAGCUUAGUGAUAGCUGGUUACUCAAGAAAAGAAUUUAAGUCCAACCUAAAAUUAAACAAAUAUAAAUAAAUAUCGCCCUAAUUUUAGAGCAAUUCAAAUAAGGUACAGCCUAUUUGAAACAGGAUACAACCUAAACCAAUGGGUAAUCAAAAACUUUUUACACAACCAAGUAGGCCUAAAAGCAGCCACCUUAAAAACAGCGUCACAGCUUUAUUGUGUUAACAGACCUAAUACCUCUAUAAAAAGAAAACCCUUCAACAGAAUUGAGUAAUUCUAUAUAACUAUAGAAAUUUUUAUGUUAAAACUAGUAACAAGAAGAUUGAACUUCUCUUUAAUGCAAACGUAAAUCAGACAGGACCCCCCCACUGAUAAUUAACAUCAUUAAACCUAAAGCAGUAACAAAACAAGAAAGCCCUGCUUGACCUCAUGUUAACCUAACACAAGAGCACUACAAGAAAGAUUUAAAGAAAAGGAAGGAACUCGGCAAAUAUUAACCUCGCCUGUUUACCAAAAACAUCGCCUCUUGCACCACAUAAGAGGUCCAGCCUGCCCAGUGACUCUGUUCAACGGCCGCGGUAUCCUAACCGUGCGAAGGUAGCGUAAUCACUUGUUCUUUAAUUGAGGACUAGUAUGAAUGGCACCACGAGGGUUAUACUGUCUCCCUUUUCUAAUCAGUGAAACUGAUUUUCCCGUGAAGAAGCGGGAAUUUUCAUAUAAGACGAGAAGACCCUAUGGAGCUUUAAACUUACUACACAUGCCUGAACAUUUCUAAUUUCAGAAAACCAACUUACAGCCCAGCAUUUAUGAUUAAUAAGUUUUAGGUUGGGGUGACCGCGGAGCAAAAUUUAACCUCCGCACUGAAAGGACCUUUAACCUUAGCCAAGAGCCACGACUCUACGCAUCAAUAACUUGACACUAAUUGACCCAAUAUAUUGACCAACGAACCAAGUUACCCUAGGGAUAACAGCGCAAUCCACUUCAAGAGCCCCUAUCGACAAGUGGGUUUACGACCUCGAUGUUGGAUCAGGGUAUCCCAGUGGUGCAGCCGCUACUAAAGGUUCGUUUGUUCAACGAUUAAAACC